RNAcentral lists this ribosomal RNA (253 nucleotides) under uncultured bacterium. RNAcentral describes it as "partial 16S ribosomal RNA". It matches the Rfam family "Bacterial small subunit ribosomal RNA", at positions 524 to 776 of the family's 1533-position model. The record is from RNAcentral.
UACGUAGGUGGCAAGCGUUGUCCGGAUUUAUUGGGCGUAAAGCGUGCGCAGGCGGUUCUUUAAGUCUGAUGUGAAAGCCCCCGGCUCAACCGGGGAGGGUCAUUGGAAACUGGGGAACUUGAGUGCGGAAGAGGAGAGUGGAAUUCCAUGUGUAGCGGUGAAAUGCGUAGAUAUAUGGAGGGACACCAGUGGCGAAGGCGACUCUCUGGUCUGUAACUGACGCUGAGGCUCGAAAGCGUGGGUAGCAAACGGG